RNAcentral lists this ribosomal RNA (253 nucleotides) under uncultured bacterium. RNAcentral describes it as "partial 16S ribosomal RNA". It matches the Rfam family "Bacterial small subunit ribosomal RNA", at positions 524 to 776 of the family's 1533-position model. The record is from RNAcentral.
UACAGAGGUCCCAAGCGUUGUUCGGAUUUACUGGGCGUAAAGGGUGCGUAGGCGGCCAAAAAAGUCUGAUGUGAAAUCUUGGAGCUCAACUCCGAAACUGCAUUAGAUACUGGUUGGCUUGAGGAGUGGAGGGGAGAUUGGAAUUCUCGGUGUAGCAGUGAAAUGCGUAGAUAUCGAGAGGAACACCAGUGGCGAAGGCGAAUCUCUGGACAUUUCCUGACGCUGAGGCACGAAAGCCAAGGGAGCAAACAGG